AUGUUAAGUGGAAAAGGAUGUGGCGUUGCCCAGACAACUAGGAUGUUGGCUUAGAAGCAGCCAUCAUUUAAAGAGUGCGUAAUAGCUCACUAGUCGAGUGACACUGCGCCGAAAAUGUACCGGGGCUAAACAUAUUACCGAAGCUGUGGAUUGUCCUUUGGACAAUGGUAGGAGAGCGUUCUAAGGGCGUUGAAGCAUGAUCGUAAGGACAUGUGGAGCGCUUAGAAGUGAGAAUGCCGGUGUGAGUAGCGAAAGACGGGUGAGAAUCCCGUCCACCGAUUGACUAAGGUUUCCAGAGGAAGGCUCGUCCGCUCUGGGUUAGUCGGGUCCUAAGCUGAGGCCGACAGGCGUAGGCGAUGGAUAACAGGUUGAUAUUCCUGUACCACCUAUAAUCGUUUUAAUCGAUGGGGGGACGCAGUAGGAUAGGCGAAGCGUGCGAUUGGAUUGCACGUCUAAGCAGUAAGGCUGAGUAUUAGGCAAAUCCGGUACUCGUUAAGGCUGAGCUGUGAUGGGGAGAAGACAUUGUGUCUUCGAGUCGUUGAUUUCACACUGCCGAGAAAAGCCUCUAGAUAGAAAAUAGGUGCCCGUACCGCAAACCGACACAGGUAGUCAAGAUGAGAAUUCUAAGGUGAGCGAGCGAACUCUCGUUAAGGAACUCGGCAAAAUGACCCCGUAACUUCGGGAGAAGGGGUGCUCUUUAGGGUUAACGCCCAGAAGAGCCGCAGUGAAUAGGCCCAAGCGACUGUUUAUCAAAAACACAGGUCUCUGCUAAACCGUAAGGUGAUGUAUAGGGGCUGACGCCUGCCCGGUGCUGGAAGGUUAAGAGGAGUGGUUAGCUUCUGCGAAGCUACGAAUCGAAGCCCCAGUAAACGGCGGCCGUAACUAUAACGGUCCUAAGGUAGCGAAAUUCCUUGUCGGGUAAGUUCCGACCCGCACGAAAGGCGUAACGAUUUGGGCACUGUCUCAACGAGAGACUCGGUGAAAUCAUAGUACCUGUGAAGAUGCAGGUUACCCGCGACAGGACGGAAAGACCCCGUGGAGCUUUACUGUAGCCUGAUAUUGAAAUUCGGCACAGCUUGUACAGGAUAGGUAGGAGCCUUUGAAACGUGAGCGCUAGCUUACGUGGAGGCGCUGGUGGG
Molecule: ribosomal RNA, 1139 nt
Filed under: Staphylococcus aureus
Lineage: Bacteria; Bacillati; Bacillota; Bacilli; Caryophanales; Staphylococcaceae
Description: partial 23S ribosomal RNA
Rfam family: Bacterial large subunit ribosomal RNA
Source: RNAcentral